This 1225-nucleotide long non-coding RNA is filed under the name Piliocolobus tephrosceles (Ugandan red Colobus). RNAcentral's name for it is "lncRNA (ENSPTEG00000012221.1)". Lineage: Eukaryota; Metazoa; Chordata; Mammalia; Primates; Cercopithecidae. The record is from RNAcentral.
GGUUCUUUAUAUACUGUUUCCACAUCUAAUUCUGAUACUUUAUCUGCCUCUUCAACAUCUGAUUCUGGUUCUUUAUAUACUGUUUCCACAUCUAAUUCUGAUACUUUAUCUGCCUCUUCAACAUCUGAUUCUGGUUCUUUAUAUACUGUUUCCACAUCUGAUUCUGAUAUUUUAUCUGCCUCUUCAAUAUCUGAUUCUAACACUUCUUCAACUGCCUUUUCCAUAACUGAUUCUGAUACUUUAUCUGCCUCUUCAACAUCUGAUUCUGGUUCUUUAUAUACUGUUUCCACAUAUAAUUCUGAUACUUUAUCUGCCUCUUCAACAUCUGAUUCUGCUUCUUUAUAUACUGUUUCCACAUCUGAUUCUGAUAUUUUAUCUGCCUCUUCACCAUCUGAUUCUGGUUCUUUAUAUACUGUUUCCACAUCUGAUUCUGAUAUUUUAUCUGCCUCUUCAAUAUCUGAUUCUGGUUCUUUAUAUACUGUUUCCACAUCUAAUUCUGAUAUUUUAUCUGCUUCUUUAACAUCUGAUUCUGAUACUUUAUCUGCAUUUUCAACAUCUGAUUCUAACACUUCUUCAACUGCCUCUUCCAUAACUGAUUCUGAUAUUUUAUCUGCCUCUUCAACAUCUGAUUCUGAUAUUUUAUCUGCUUCUUUAACAUCUGAUUCUGAUACUUUAUCUGCAUUUUCAACAUCUGAUUUUAACACUUCUUCAACUGCCUCUUCCAUAACUGAUUCUGAUAUUUUAUCUGCCUCUUCAACAUCUGAUUCUGGUUCUUUAUAUACUGUUUCCAUAUCUGAUUCUGAUACUUUAUCUGCUUUUUCAACAUCUGAUUCUGAUACUUUAUCUUCUUCUUCUUCUUCUUCAACGUCUGCUUCUGGUGUUUCUUUAGCAUCUUCAUCUGGUAUUGUUGUUUCUUUCUCUUCUAUAUCUGAUUCUAAUACCUUAUCGACCUUUCCAACGUCGGAUCCUAAUAAUAUUUUAUCUGCCUCAUCAACAUCCGAUUCUAAUGUUUUUUCAGUAUCCUCUUUAACAUCUGCUUCUAAAAUUUUCUUAUCUUCCUCUUUAACAUCUCCUUCGAAUAAUGACUUGUAUAUCGUAUCAACAUCUGAUACUAAUACUUCUUCAUCUUUCUCUUCAACACCAGUUGUUAGUACUUCAUCUACCUUUCCAACGUCGGAUCCUAACAAUGCUUCAUCUGCUUCUUCUUCUUUUGUUUCUUCUUUUG